Morone saxatilis (striped sea-bass) is the source of this 965-nucleotide long non-coding RNA. RefSeq lists it as uncharacterized. The record is from RefSeq and is a predicted model, not a curated record. The transcript has 3 exons. Lineage: Eukaryota; Metazoa; Chordata; Actinopteri; Moronidae.
ACAGAGAGAGAGAGUAUCUGUGUAACACAUUGAGCAGCAGAAUCUUACAGCAGAAGGGUAACUCUAACCCUAAUUCCCUAACCCAAAGAACACUACUUACAGACAAGAAGCAGAAGAGUUGUUUAAAUGGAAGAUCUGUGCACUCUUAGUGGUCUGGAUCCUCUCUGGGUGAGUCUCUCAUUAAAUAUCUGACCAAUAAUCUGAUUAAUUUAAAGAUACUUUUUAACCUUUUUAAAUCAGUCAGAUGUUAAGUUUAUGUUUAUAUUAAACUUAACUGAAAUACAGUACAGUCUCUAUCAGUCAGUGUUUGGUUAGUCCAUUCUAGGUUAUUGUAGAAACAUGCGUCUCAUUCUAAGGCAACAGAAACACAUUAAUUCUUAUUUUCAGGUGGUUAUAGACUAAUGAAAACAUAACUAUGGAUAUUAUAUUCCAAUAUUGUGACACAAUGGAGCUUUAAACUAUUUCAACCUAUUGACACGUCACUCACCUGUGAGAUGUGAACACUGAUGGUGUUUUCUGGUUUCAGGACUGGAAUCUGACCUGGUACACCUCGCAACCAGACCUGACCCAGUGUUUCCAGCACACUGUACUGGUUUGGUCCCCCUGCGUUUACCUGUGGACCUGUUCUCCUCUUUACCUGCUGUACCUGCAGUUCCGCCCACACCGAGGCUUCAUCCCACUGUCCAAACUCUGCUGCAGCAAGACGCUUAUGGGUCUCAGUCUGGCUUCGUUCGGCCUACUGGAGAUUUUUUACUUCCUGGUGAAGAAAAAUGAAGAGACCCAGAACCACCUGUUGAUCCUGAUGGGCCCACUGAUUCGGAGCCUAACCCUGGUUCUUGCUGUUGUUAUAAUCCAGGUAGAGCGGAUGAAGGGCUGUCGUUCGUCUGUCCUCCUCUUCCUCUUCUGGACUCUUCUGGUUCUCUGCUCCCUCGUUCCUCUGAAGGUUGACAUUGAGCAGAUCAUUU